UACGGGGGGGGCAAGCGUUGUUCGGAAUUACUGGGCGUAAAGGGCUCGUAGGCGGCCAACUAAGUCAGACGUGAAAUCCCUCGGCUUAACCGGGGAACUGCGUCUGAUACUGGAUGGCUCGAGUUUGGGAGAGGGAUGCGGAAUUCCAGGUGUAGCGGUGAAAUGCGUAGAUAUCUGGAGGAACACCGGUGGCGAAGGCGGCAUCCUGGACCAACACUGACACUGAGGAGCGAAAGCCAGGGGAGCAAACGGG
RNAcentral lists this ribosomal RNA (253 nucleotides) under uncultured bacterium. Its description in RNAcentral is "partial 16S ribosomal RNA". It matches the Rfam family "Bacterial small subunit ribosomal RNA", at positions 524 to 776 of the family's 1533-position model. The record is from RNAcentral.